CAGAAAGGUCAGCCCCCUGCUGCAAGUUCUUAGAUUCCCGGAGGAUCUGCAGAGUCAACAUUAGGAGUAUCCGUCCAUUCACCAAGGCCAUCAGGAAUGUGCUGAAUGUUCUGUAAAGAAGAGUUGUCAAUUGUGCACAGAAGAUAAGAAAUAUAUGAUGAAUAGAUAAUUGAAAAGAGAUCUUCCCGAAAGAGCAGAAGGAAGUUUCUUCAAUGGCUUCCUUCAGGAUUUUAAUCAUCCUUACAGCCUCUUUGAGAAUGAUUGAACUUCCAAAUUCCCUAAAGUUAAAAUUUUAAAUUCUAUUAAACA
Molecule: small RNA, 309 nt
Filed under: Pan troglodytes (chimpanzee)
Lineage: Eukaryota; Metazoa; Chordata; Mammalia; Primates; Hominidae
Description: processed transcript
Source: RNAcentral